GAGUUAGGGUCUUCCAGGCCCGACCUCCCAACCCUUUGUUUACAGAACCUCUGUUGCUUCGGCGGACCCGUCUCACGACCGCCGGAGGACCGCCGCGAGGCGUCCUCUGGCCCCGCGUCCGUCGAUAGCCAAAUCUAAAACUCUGAAUGAAUCGUGUCAUAUGUCUAAGUCUAUGAUUAAAUAAAGCAAAACUUUCAACAACGGAUCUCUUGGUUCU
Molecule: unclassified non-coding RNA, 217 nt
Filed under: rhizosphere metagenome
Description: partial ribosomal RNA internal transcribed spacer region
Source: RNAcentral